UUUCUAUCUUUAAAACGUAAGU
This 22-nucleotide small nuclear RNA is filed under the name Arabidopsis thaliana (thale cress). RNAcentral describes it as "snRNA_02197". The record is from RNAcentral. Lineage: Eukaryota; Viridiplantae; Streptophyta; Magnoliopsida; Brassicales; Brassicaceae.